UGGCGGCGUGCUUAACACAUGCAAGUCGAACGGGACGUCAGGGAACGAGGCUUCGGCCAAGCGAACUGAAGUUUAGUGGCGGACGGGUGAGUAACGCGUGAGUAACCUGCCUAUCACAGGGGGACAACAGUUGGAAACGACUGCUAAUACCGCAUAAUGUAUUUCGGGGGCAUCCCGGAGAUACCAAAGGAGCGAUCCGGUGAUAGAUGGACUCGCGUCCGAUUAGCUAGUUGGUGAGGUAACGGCCCACCAAGGCGACGAUCGGUAGCCGGACUGAGAGGUUGAACGGCCACAUUGGGACUGAGACACGGCCCAGACUCCUACGGGAGGCAGCAGUGGGGAAUAUUGGUCAAUGGGGGGAAAAACCCCCUGAACCAGCAACGCCGCGUGAAGGAUGAAGGUUUUCGGAUUGUAAACUUCUUUGACGAGGGACGAUAAUGACGGUACCUCGAAAACAAGCCACGGCUAACUACGUGCCAGCCGCAGC
RNAcentral lists this ribosomal RNA (487 nucleotides) under uncultured bacterium. RNAcentral describes it as "bacterial SSU rRNA". It matches the Rfam family "Bacterial small subunit ribosomal RNA", at positions 37 to 518 of the family's 1533-position model. The record is from RNAcentral.